Malus domestica (apple) is the source of this 625-nucleotide long non-coding RNA. RefSeq lists it as uncharacterized. Lineage: Eukaryota; Viridiplantae; Streptophyta; Magnoliopsida; Rosales; Rosaceae. The record is from RefSeq and is a predicted model, not a curated record.
UGUAGCCGUUGGAUAAAAAUCCAACGGCCCAUGAUAACUGGUCAGGAAGAUCCUCUCCAUUAGCUCAGGAGAGGAUCCAAAUCCAACCUCCGCAACUCACCCCACUCUCUCUAACUCGCCGAGGACCACCACCCACAACCACCAUCUCUUACGGCUUGGUUCAACACAAAAUCACUAGAAAUAGAUUUUGGGUUGCCUGAGCAUCACAUCAGUGGCUCUGCAUGGACCACCUGCGCAUGGCAGAGUUUCGAACUCACUGAACCGUGAGCUUCGAGUCUUCCCCGUCGGUCCCAGUUUCGACUGGUGUGUACGGCCGAACUCCGGCGAGUUUGUUGCUGUGGGUGCAGGGAUCCCUUCGAAUUCGAACCCAGAUGAAGUUGCUAGUGAGGGAAUUUUUAAUCUUUAUCAGCACAACUCUACUGCUAAGGAGUAUCUGUAUUAGAAACGAGGACUACGACACAACGUACGAGGCAUUCCCCUACUAGUAGCAAUCUAUCACUCACUUGUGUGAUAUUCUGUAAUGAUCUUUCCUUUGUGAAAUUUUUUAGAAAGUAUUUGUGCACUCUAGACACUUCAUUAAGCUUUGUUUAUUACUUCUAGAUUCUAAUGUUUAUUCAUGAAUAUU